Long non-coding RNA from Ictalurus punctatus (channel catfish), 1131 nucleotides. The record is from Ensembl. NCBI's taxonomy places the organism in Eukaryota, Metazoa, Chordata, Actinopteri, Siluriformes, Ictaluridae.
CGAGUGUACAAGAGUUGUAUUUUAACACCUCGACAUGUCAGAACCUGUAUUCCUUUGCAAAUCAACUGAGCCUAAUAUUUUUUUCUCUUGCUUUCAAGAUGCCAUCAGCUUUGUACAGGUCUAUUUUUACGUGAUCCAACUGUGUGCCUUCUGCAUUUCCCCUGUAGAGAGAACUGCUGAUACUGAUCCUCAGUGGUUAGACUUGCCGAUUAUACUAUGUGAAGAUAUUCAGGUGCUGGUAUACCUGUGGAAUCCUUGCAUCGCUAUUACAGAAGAGGCCUUUAACAGUGGAUACUGCUGAUGGAAGUUGAACAGCUACAUCUACAGCUUCUACGACAGCAACAACCUCUGCAUUCAAAGGUCACCAUCAUCUCUCAAUAAUCUCUUGUGAACAUCUUGAACCAGCUUUGUCUUGGGAGGUAAACCCAACUGGAGGUGGCUACAGGCAGGACUCCAUCUACAUGUAUGUUGUAGAGCUCACCCAGCUUCACAAAAUUCAUGCACUAUACCUGUGAUGAGUCAUUUUAAUAGUCCCUGAGCAACUCAUCAGUUCAACCCACAAUAGAACAAUGGAAGGCUCUAUUUCAGGGUAAGGCUAGGAGCUUUAUAGAUCUGCAUUUGGCUUGCCAAUCCCUUGUUUGCCCUCCGAAGUUCAUCACAAAGAAAUAAUUUCACUCUUCAACUUAAACAUACCAUCAUUCUUGGGCAUCUGUGGAUCCAGAAACAAGUCCUACAUUUCCAUGACCCACAAAGAGAUACCUCAUAAGAUGUUCAGCAAGACCAGGGCUACAGAACUGCCGACACCUCAGCCCUGCAUCUGCUCUAGACUUACUGCCCAAUGCCACACCUUUGCACUUCCAUCUACUCACAUGUACAGAUACCCUUCCCUUUGGUACCUGCCACACUCCAGCAGCAGAGCACGCAUCAACACCACCCUGAAUCCACAAAGUGUGUACAGCCUCAUUCGGCAAGGGGGUCCAUUAAAAACUGCUUUUUGAACAAUUUCAGGACAAUACAAACAUCAGCACACGCCUUAUGGUCUUGCCAGUGCCCUCUCUAUGUUUCGGGUUUUCAUAAAUGUAACUUGCUCAGCAGAUUAUUCAUGGUCAUAUAUACCCUGCAAUACCCUGG